UGUGAGCUCGAUGAGUAGGGCGGGACACGUGGUAUCCUGUCUGAAUAUGGGGGGACCAUCCUCCAAGGCUAAAUACUCCUGACUGACCGAUAGUGAACCAGUACCGUGAGGGAAAGGCGAAAAGAACCCCGGCGAGGGGAGUGAAAAAGAACCUGAAACCGUGUACGUACAAGCAGUGGGAGCACGCUUAGGCGUGUGACUGCGUACCUUUUGUAUAAUGGGUCAGCGACUUAUAUUCUGUAGCAAGGUUAACCGAAUAGGGGAGCCGAAGGGAAACCGAGUCUUAACUGGGCGUUAAGUUGCAGGGUAUAGACCCGAAACCCGGUGAUCUAGCCAUGGGCAGGUUGAAGGUUGGGUAACACUAACUGGAGGACCGAACCGACUAAUGUUGAAAAAUUAGCGGAUGACUUGUGGCUGGGGGUGAAAGGCCAAUCAAACCGGGAGAUAGCUGGUUCUCCCCGAAAGCUAUUUAGGUAGCGCCUCGUGAAUUCAUCUCCGGGGGUAGAGCACUGUUUCGGCAAGGGGGUCAUCCCGACUUACCAACCCGAUGCAAACUGCGAAUACCGGAGAAUGUUAUCACGGGAGACACACGGCGGGUGCUAACGUCCGUCGUGAAGAGGGAAACAACCCAGACCGCCAGCUAAGGUCCCAAAGUCAUGGUUAAGUGGGAAACGAUGUGGGAAGGCCCAGACAGCCAGGAUGUUGGCUUAGAAGCAGCCAUCAUUUAAAGAAAGCGUAAUAGCUCACUGGUCGAGUCGGCCUGCGCGGAAGAUGUAACGGGGCUAAACCAUGCACCGAAGCUGCGGCAGCGACGCUUAUGCGUUGUUGGGUAGGGGAGCGUUCUGUAAGCCUGUGAAGGUGUGCUGUGAGGCAUGCUGGAGGUAUCAGAAGUGCGAAUGCUGACAUAAGUAACGAUAAAGCGGGUGAAAAG
RNAcentral lists this ribosomal RNA (931 nucleotides) under Escherichia coli. RNAcentral describes it as "partial 23S ribosomal RNA". It matches the Rfam family "Bacterial large subunit ribosomal RNA", at positions 398 to 1328 of the family's 2925-position model. Lineage: Bacteria; Pseudomonadati; Pseudomonadota; Gammaproteobacteria; Enterobacterales; Enterobacteriaceae. The record is from RNAcentral.